Molecule: ribosomal RNA, 433 nt
Filed under: uncultured bacterium
Lineage: Bacteria
Description: partial 16S ribosomal RNA
Rfam family: Bacterial small subunit ribosomal RNA
Source: RNAcentral
AACGAACGCUGGCGGCAUGCCUAACACAUGCAAGUCGAACGAGACCUUCGGGUCGCGUGGCGCACGGGUGCGUAACGCGUGGGAACCUGCCCUUAGGUUCGGAAUAACUCCCCGAAAGGGGUGCUAAUACCGGAUAAUGUCUUCGGACCAAAGAUUUAUCGCCUUUGGAUGGGCCCGCGUUGGAUUAGCUAGUUGGUAGGGUAAAAGCCUACCAAGGCGACGAUCCAUAGCUGGUCUGAGAGGAUGAUCAGUCACACUGGGACUGAGACACGGCCCAGACUCCUACGGGAGGCAGCAGUGGGGAAUAUUGGACAAUGGGCGAAAGCCUGAUCCAGCAAUGCCGCGUGAGUGAUGAAGGCCUUAGGGUUGUAAAGCUCUUUUACCCGGGAUGAUAAUGACAGUACCGGGAGAAUAAGCUCCGGCUAACUCCGUG